This 433-nucleotide ribosomal RNA is filed under the name uncultured bacterium. RNAcentral's name for it is "partial 16S ribosomal RNA". It matches the Rfam family "Bacterial small subunit ribosomal RNA", at positions 28 to 507 of the family's 1533-position model. The record is from RNAcentral.
GACGAACGCUGGCGGCAUGCCUAACACAUGCAAGUCGAACGAAACGUCCCGGUCUAUGGGCGCACGUGUGCUUGCCGCGGGGGAAGCUACCCUUAAGUUCGCAAUCCCUCCCCGAAAGGGGUGCUAAUACCAGUUAAUCUCUUCGGACCAAAGAUUUAUCGCCUUUGGAUGGGCCCGCGUUGGAUUCGCUAGUUGGUAGGGUAAAAGCCUACCAAGGCGACGAUCCAUAGCUGGUCUGGGAGCAUGAUCAGCCACACUGGGGCUGAGGCACGGCCGAGACCGCUACGGAGGGGAGCAGAGGGGAAUAUUGGAGGAGGGGCGAAGGCCUGAUACAGCAAUGCGGGGGGAGUGAUGAAGGGCGUAGGGUUGUAAAGUUCUUUUACCCGGGAUGAUAAUGACGGUACCGGGUGAAGAAGCUCCGGCUAACUCCGUG